RNAcentral lists this ribosomal RNA (516 nucleotides) under uncultured Planctomycetota bacterium. Its description in RNAcentral is "bacterial SSU rRNA". It matches the Rfam family "Bacterial small subunit ribosomal RNA", at positions 355 to 864 of the family's 1533-position model. Lineage: Bacteria; Pseudomonadati; Planctomycetota. The record is from RNAcentral.
UCGAGAAUCUUCGGCAAUGGGCGCAAGCCUGACCGAGCGACGCCGCGUGCGGGAUGAAGGCCUUCGGGUUGUAAACCGCUGUCGUAGGGGAGGAAAUACCGGUGGGUUCUCCCAUCGGCUUGACCUAUCCUAGGAGGAAGGACGGGCUAAGUUCGUGCCAGCAGCCGCGGUUAUACGAACCGUCCGAACGUUACUCGGAAUCACUGGGCUUAAAGGGUGCGUAGGCCGCUCGGAGGGUGGGAUGUGAAAUCCCCCAGCUCAACUGGGGAAUAGCGUCCCAAACCGCCGGGCUUGAGGGAGACAGAGGUCAGCGGAACUGAUGGUGGAGCGGUGAAAUGCGUUGAUAUCAUCAGGAACACCAGUGGCGAAAGCGGCUGACUGGGUCUUUCCUAACGCUGAGGCACGAAAGCUAGGGGGAGCGAACGGGAUUAGAUACCCCGGUAGUCCUAGCCUUAAACGAUGAGCACUUGAUUGGAGGGAUGGUCACGUCCUUCCGGUCGUAGCGAAAGUGUUAAG